RNAcentral lists this transfer RNA (94 nucleotides) under Halotalea alkalilenta. RNAcentral's name for it is "Selenocysteine transfer RNA". It matches the Rfam family "Selenocysteine transfer RNA". Lineage: Bacteria; Pseudomonadati; Pseudomonadota; Gammaproteobacteria; Oceanospirillales; Halomonadaceae. The record is from Rfam by way of RNAcentral.
GGAAGAGGAUCGACCCCCGGUGGGGCGACCGGACUUCAACUCCGUGUGGGGGCUGCCAAGCAGUCCUCGGUGGGUUCGACUCCCACGCUCUUCC